UGUAUGUAACUAAUGUCAUAUUUUAGGAGAUAUGUUUGUGUAGAUAUUCCUUAUUUAAAAAGAUUAAUUGCCUUAAUUAUUGUAUAUCUCUUCCUUUCAGAUUUGAUCUUUAUAUUUGCCAUUUUUAAGUAGAUGUGGUUGUGUAGAUAUUCCUAUUAGAUUUCGUAGAUAAUUUCUCAAUCUGAUUAAACAUCCUUUUGUGGAGGUAUUCUUAUCAUGUAGUGAUUAAACAUCCUCUCAUCAAGGUAUGUCAUUUUGCUUUUCUUUUUUUCCCUUUUUUUGAAUGAAAUUUGAUUCCCCAUUCCAAUAGGCGUAGGUAUAGAAUCAAUAUUCCAUGUUCAUUAAUUUUCCAUAAUAGGGUCCAUGUUAUUCAUCUAGAGGGUGCAAUCAUUGCAAGGACCAGCUUUGAUUCAAAAACAUUAGCAUUUCCAAUUUAUAGUCACACUACAUAUAAGGAUAUAUGUGAGGAAAUAUGGUUACAUGCUUCUAUAACACAAGAAAAUAAAUAUGGUAACAUGCUACUAUAACACAGGCAAAUAAAUCAAUCGCAGCUUCAGUAGAUAACUAUGCACACAACAACCUGCACACCGACAACUUCCUCAUUCAAGAUGGCUAGUACAUCCUUAACAAAUACUCCUGACUUCACUCCAUGCCACAGGGGCGACCUACAUGCAUACAUACCAACUUUCACCGGUUACAGCACAACAUAAUGCAAACAUAUACAGCAACCUUCUCAUGAAGAGGUACGAACCCUAUGUGAUACGGAGACACCAACUUGAAUAGGAACUCAUAAAAAGGGUAUCCCAUUUUUAUCCAUAAUUGUACCACUUACUUGUUCUCUCUUUUCGCCAAAUAAACCUUAAGCCUCUUUGCAUCAGGAAUCGUCAUGCACUUACCAACCCGUAGUCUCCAAACACCUAUGUUUUGAUCUACUGUUGGGUCUUCUUUUUCUUGGAAGGCGAUUGUACGACAAAAUCAUUAUCGUCCUUCUUAACAAUUUCAGCUUUUGCUUUUCCUUUCUUGGUCCUCUCAGUGAUGAAGUCGGCUAAAAUAAGGGGUUUUUUGCAUUUAGACCUCGACCUCAGGUUCAUUGAAAUUUGAUUCUCAUUCUCAACGACUUUGUUACUCGGAGCAUAUUAAUCAUACCUGCAAUCAAGAACUUGUAUAGUCUAUCAUACCUACUCAAUAUCAAAAACCUAGAACCAUCACAAAACAAAUACCUCUUCGUCAGGAGCACACACACCUUUUGAAUAGGUAGCAACCACAAUACUCAUGAACCGUACCAAUCGGAUAUGCUGUUGAACACAGGCAACCCACCAACAUCUGAUUGUGCAAUCCAUUUAUAUCACAAGUUUGUAGAGAUAUUGACACCAACUUUGAAUGUACAGAUUAGACUUUUUAAUGUGAAGAUUACGUAACCUCCAACCCAGAGGAGAAUUUUCAAUUGCUGAAAUCAAGGGUUAAGUAAUUCUGGGGCGACGUCUAUGGGCAGCCGUUUCAUGAUUGACUUCCAUCGGCAACAUUACUGGAUUUUAUUAUCAAUACUAUUUAAUAGGUGAAUGGGAAAUUUGAUAGUGGCAGCUUUAGUAAUUCUUAACAACAUUGGGUUUUAUUAUUUAUUCUAUUUAAUAGGUUUUUUUAUUUUGCAUAAACCUAAUUAAUUGGUUUGGGUGUAUAUUAAAACACUCUUAUGGAUGGGUUUAUUCUAAAAGAGGUGUGUCAAUUUGGGUGUAUAAUCAAAUUCCCCUUCUGAAAGCUUAGAGUAGUAUAACAUAGAAGACUUUUUCUUCUCGGUUGUUUCUGGUUCUGUGUUGGUGCUUUGGAGUUUCUGGAGUUAGCAGCUUCUGGAGUUUGUGGUUUCUGAAGUUGCUGUGCAGACAAGGGACGGUUGUGGUUGUCAACCUGUUGCUGAGAUAAUUAUCACUGAAGAACAGAGAGAUGGCUGGACAAUAUGUUGAACCUCUAAACAAUGUCGUAACGGAGCAAGGGGAAGAUUGUCCCAAGAUUGCUGACACUGACAUUUAUCAAUAUCAAUAUGACGCGGUUGCGAUGUCUUGACAUAGUUAUAAUAAUCAUCUAAUUAUCUGUCAGAUGCAGCAUAAGUAAGAAAAUAUUUUUGAGUCUCUCUACUAUUGGACCUCCUGGAGAGUCACCUUCUCGGAGAGGGAAAGAGAGGUUAAUUAAUUAAGACUGCUCUCAUCCCCAACAUUGUCAAGAUUUGCAUUGUCCUGAUAGUCCCGGUAGCAAUGCUUCUACUAAUGGGGAGUGGUAACUUAUUUGGUAGGAUUCCUAUGCCUUGGAGGAGGGCCAACUGAUGAAAGCUCCAUCUUCUAGGGAGCCAGACUUGGAAAAAGCAGAAAGGAAGUUCCCGGUUUGUAGUGACUAGUGAUCCAGAGAUCUAUCUAUAGGUAACAGGAUACUUGGCUCCAAUGAUUGCCUACAUACCCAUGUCACUUUCUUUUUCUUGUAAAUAACUGAGAUGGUGUUUGCAAAUACAAUGCUGCCUGAGUGAAACUGGAGAGGGAGGGAGGGAGGGAGAUUGGCCCUACACAUGAUGUGCAAGAUCAUAAUUGGUUUUAGCACUAAGGUGCUUUUCUGAAAAGUCUACUGCUUUCAAUGUUAUCCGUAAGCAGUCGCGGUAAAUAAUAAGUACCACAAAAACUUAUUACUCAA
Molecule: long non-coding RNA, 2673 nt
Organism: Rosa rugosa (rugosa rose)
Lineage: Eukaryota; Viridiplantae; Streptophyta; Magnoliopsida; Rosales; Rosaceae
Exons: 4
Source: RefSeq, a predicted model, not a curated record